AUUGAACGCUGGCGGCAUGCCUUACACAUGCAAGUCGAACGGCAGCAUGGAAGAGCUUGCUCUUCUGAUGGCGAGUGGCGAACGGGUGAGUAAAGCAUCGGAACGUACCGUGUAGUGGGGGAUAACGUAGCGAAAGUUACGCUAAUACCGCAUACGCACUGAGGUGGAAAGCAGGGGAUCGCAAGACCUUGCGCUAUACGAGCGGCCGAUGUCAGAUUAGCUAGUUGGUAGGGUAGAGGCCUACCAAGGCGACGAUCUGUAGCGGGUCUGAGAGGAUGAUCCGCCACACUGGGACUGAGACACGGCCCAGACUCCUACGGGAGGCAGCAGUGGGGAAUUUUGGACAAUGGGGGAAACCCUGAUCCAGCCAUGCCGCGUGAGUGAAGAAGGCCUUCGGGUUGUAAAGCUCUUUCGGCUGGGAAGAAAUCGCACAGGCUAAUACUCUGCGUGGAUGACGGUACCAGCAUAAGAAGCACCGGCUAACUACGUGCCAGCCGCCGCCGUAA
Molecule: ribosomal RNA, 506 nt
Filed under: uncultured bacterium
Lineage: Bacteria
Description: partial 16S ribosomal RNA
Rfam family: Bacterial small subunit ribosomal RNA
Source: RNAcentral